Molecule: microRNA precursor, 113 nt
Filed under: Gossypium arboreum
Lineage: Eukaryota; Viridiplantae; Streptophyta; Magnoliopsida; Malvales; Malvaceae
Description: MIR7502 microRNA precursor family
Rfam family: MIR7502 microRNA precursor family
Source: Rfam by way of RNAcentral
UAUUAAAAAUUUAAUCUAUUUGUACUGUUAACAAUAACAUAUGGCGUGUCAUGUAUAUGUCAUACUGUACAAGGUCUAGUUUUUAACAAUAGAAGUGGAUGAAAAUUUUAACA